UGGGUUGUGGCUCAGCAGUAGAGCGCUUGCCUCACAUGUGAGACACUGGGUUCAAUCCUCAGCACCACAU
This 70-nucleotide transfer RNA is filed under the name Ictidomys tridecemlineatus (thirteen-lined ground squirrel). RNAcentral describes it as "Spermophilus tridecemlineatus (thirteen-lined ground squirrel) tRNA". It matches the Rfam family "tRNA". From Rfam's summary of the family: Transfer RNA (tRNA) molecules are approximately 80 nucleotides in length. Lineage: Eukaryota; Metazoa; Chordata; Mammalia; Rodentia; Sciuridae. The record is from Rfam by way of RNAcentral.